AAUCACUUUGGCUGCUGGACAUGAGCAAAGGAAGGGCAAAAGCAAAGAGAGAGAUCAGUUGUUGCAGUUAUCCAGGUGGGAGAUGAUGGUGGUAGCGGUGGCAGCCCUGAGAAAUGGUUGAAUUAUUUUUCAUUUUGAGAGAUAGAAAAUUCAGAAUCCUUUUCAAGGUACCCGAACAAACUACCAUUGGCCAGUUACCACCUCAGACCACCUAUGUUCCUCAACCAGUGAUUGGUCUACCAUUCAGAGACAUUCACAAAGAGACCAUUCCUACUCUAAUAGAAACCUUCUGACAUUACUUCACUCAGUGAGGAGGUGAGGAAUGGAGCGAGGGGGUUCUUGAAGAAUGUUCUAAUGAGUCUCUUCCCUUGAUACCUCAACUGGCUUGCUCCUUCAUAGCUGGUGAGAUGGGAACAGGUGAUGUCAACACAAGGUGUUUGGAGUAAG
This 447-nucleotide long non-coding RNA is filed under the name Mustela putorius furo (domestic ferret). RNAcentral's name for it is "lncRNA (ENSMPUG00000027044.1)". The record is from RNAcentral. Lineage: Eukaryota; Metazoa; Chordata; Mammalia; Carnivora; Mustelidae.